UAGGGAAUCUUCGGCAAUGGACGAAAGUCUGACCGAGCAACGCCGCGUGAGUGAAGAAGGUUUUCGGAUCGUAAAACUCUGUUGGUAGAGAAGAACGUUGGUGAGAGUGGAAAGCUCAUCAAGUGACGGUAACUACCCAGAAGGGGACGGCUAACUACGUGCCAG
RNAcentral lists this ribosomal RNA (165 nucleotides) under uncultured bacterium. Its description in RNAcentral is "partial 16S ribosomal RNA". It matches the Rfam family "Bacterial small subunit ribosomal RNA", at positions 355 to 511 of the family's 1533-position model. The record is from RNAcentral.